This 312-nucleotide long non-coding RNA is filed under the name Fukomys damarensis (Damara mole-rat). RNAcentral's name for it is "lncRNA (ENSFDAG00000032128.1)". Lineage: Eukaryota; Metazoa; Chordata; Mammalia; Rodentia; Bathyergidae. The record is from RNAcentral.
GAGCAAGCAGGGUUAAUGGGACUGACACAAGCAGUGAUUGGAAAAUACGGUCAGCCAGCAUGGUGCAAUUUGAAAAAUGUUCCUCUAGAGGGCACUGUUGUCAUGAGACAUUAAAUCCAUUUGAUGAGAAAGGAGAGAGGAGUGCCUGUUGGGAAGGGAGAAAAAGGAAUUUGGAUUUUGGGAGAGGUGGAACUGCUCAUCUUUUGGAAUUGUUCAUUCUUUCUGUUGCAGAGAUCUUGUGAUUUCACUAGUGGGGGCUUAGGCACUAGAAAUGAUGAUUUGGAAGACCAUCGAAGAUGUGUUAGCAGAUGA